GAUGAACGCUGGCGGCGUGCCUAAUACAUGCAAGUCGAGCGAACAGAUGAGGAGCUUGCUCCUCUGACGUUAGCGGCGGACGGGUGAGUAACACGUGGAUAACCUACCUAUAAGACUGGGGUAACUUCGGGAAACCGGAGCUAAUACCGGAUAAUAUAUUGAACCGCAUGGUUCAAUAGUGAAAUACGGUUUUUCUGUCACUUAUAGAUGGAUCCGCGCCGCAUUAGCUAGUUGGUAAGGUAACGGCUUACCAAGUCAACGAUGCGUAGCCGACCUGAGAGGGUGGACCGCCACACUGGAACUGAGACAGGGCCCAGACUCCUACGGGAGGCAGCAGUAGGGAAUCUUCCGCAAUGGGCGAAAGCUUGACGGAGCAACGCCGCGUGAGUGAUGAAGGUCUUCGGAUCGUAAAACUCUGUUAUUAGGGAAGAACAAAUGUGUAAGUAACUAUGCACGUCUUGACGGUACCUAAUCAGAAAGCCACGGCUAACUACGUG
This 497-nucleotide ribosomal RNA is filed under the name uncultured bacterium. RNAcentral's name for it is "partial 16S ribosomal RNA". It matches the Rfam family "Bacterial small subunit ribosomal RNA", at positions 28 to 507 of the family's 1533-position model. The record is from RNAcentral.